AUUUUUUCCUGUAGCAAUACAGGGAAAAGUCUAGCGGCGAACGGGUGCUUAACACGUGGGCAAUCUGUCUUAAAGUGGGGGAUAGCUCGGCGAAAGCCGAAUUAAUACCGCAUGUGGUUAGAGUGGACAUCCAUUCAAAAUCAAAGGUGGCGCAAGCUACCGCUUUUUGAGGAGCCCGCGGCCUAUCAGCUAGUUGGUGAGGUAACGGCUCACCAAGGCUUUGACGGGUAGCUGGUCUGAGAGGACGACCAGCCACACUGGGACUGUGACACGGCCCAGACACCUACGGGUGGCAGCAGUCGAGAAUUUUUCUCAAUGGGGGAAACCCUGAAGGAGCGACGCCGCGUGGAGGAUGAAGGUCUUCGGAUUGUAAACUCCUGUCAUUGGGGAACAAGGUGCAUACGUUAACUGCGUGUGCAUUGAUAGUACCCGAAGAGGAAGAGACGGCUAACUCUGUGCCAGCAGCCGCGGUAAUACAGAGGUCUCAAGCGUUGUUCGGAUUCAUUGGGCGUAAAGGGUGCGUAGGCGGCGCGGUAAGUCGGGUGUGAAAUCUCGGGGCUUAACUCCGAAACUGCAUUCGAUACUGCCGUGCUUGAGGACUGGAGAGGAGACUGGAAUUUACGGUGUAGCGGUGAAAUGCGUAGAUAUCGUAAGGAAGACCAGUGGCGAAGGCGGGUCUCUGGACAGUUCCUGACGCUGAGGCACGAAGGCCAGGGGAGCAAACGGGAUUAGAUACCCCGGUAGUCCUGGCAGUAAACGGUGCACGUUUGGUGUGGGAGGAUUCGACCCCUUCUGCGCCGGAGCUAACGCGUUAAACGUG
Molecule: ribosomal RNA, 820 nt
Filed under: uncultured Verrucomicrobiota bacterium
Lineage: Bacteria; Pseudomonadati; Verrucomicrobiota
Description: bacterial SSU rRNA
Rfam family: Bacterial small subunit ribosomal RNA
Source: RNAcentral